This 129-nucleotide non-coding RNA is filed under the name Acetonema longum. Its description in RNAcentral is "MoCo sequence". It matches the Rfam family "Molybdenum/Tungsten riboswitch aptamer (Moco RNA motif)". Lineage: Bacteria; Bacillati; Bacillota; Negativicutes; Acetonemataceae. The record is from RNAcentral. RNAcentral also lists the same sequence under 1 other name.
AGACUAAUCCGUCUUCGAGCCUUGCUGCCUACCGACUAUUCCAUGGCAGCCUGGCCUGGGCUUCGGUCCGCGGGUAUUACCGGAAACGGUCAUGCCUACCGAUUGUAAAGGAGGGGAUUGCGGUCCGGG